This is a long non-coding RNA of Grammomys surdaster, 1590 nucleotides long. RefSeq lists it as uncharacterized. Lineage: Eukaryota; Metazoa; Chordata; Mammalia; Rodentia; Muridae. The transcript is spliced from 3 exons. The record is from RefSeq and is a predicted model, not a curated record.
CGGAGUCCGUCCCUCGCGCGGAUCCGCUUCUGCCGGUGGCGGGCGACACCUGUGGCCACCCCCGGGAGGAGAACGGAGUUGGCAGCUUGGCCUGCGGGCGUCCGGAAGCCAGACGAAAUGAAGAGAUGCUUUCAACGACAGUUACAGAUUGAAUAACAACAACAACAACAACAACAAAACCACUGGAAAUGUUCCAACAAUUCAAUGAAAUAUAAUUCUGAUCGAAGAAGAUCCUCAAGUAUUCUUAGCUGAUAAUGUAAGGCGAACUUUGCCGUCUGUUAUUCCCCCGCCCCCUUUAAAUAGCACAACGUGGCCUUGAACAAUGCUGGAAGGAUCGCUACAACUCGGGCUGUGGAGAACUGAUAUUAUGAGACCAGAAAAGCUCUCUGAAGCAUUUAUAGAGCUACGGAACAGAGGUGUGUGCCACCAAGCCCGACGGUCUGAGCUUAAGCCCUGGAACCCACACGGUGGAAUGAGGAAACCAACUCCCUCCAAGCUGUCCUCUGACCUCUGCAUGCAUACUGUGGCACACGCACACCCACUGAUCAACAAAGGAAAAAGCAGUUUAAUCACCUGCCAGGGGUGGUCCGGCAAGCCCCGAAAUGCUCUGAAUGAAGACAUAGACUCCAGCCGCAGAUGACAUCUUCUCGAUCCCGAUGACGUCAUCCUCGGCCAGCAUGGGGAUGUGGGUCCCUCCUAUGGUCCCAACCAUACUGCCAAAAAACACACUACACAACAUGAGGCCCCAGAACUCGGUAGCGAAAGUGAAGGCGAACAGAGACACCGUCAGUAAAAUGACGCAUAUGAGUUCGAUGUAGAUCUUGCGAAUGGGCUCCCUGUUGAGGACGAACCCUGCCCCGAUCCUUCCGAACACUUCUGCGAUGGCCAUGGUAGACAAUAAAAAUGCGGCUCGGUCAGGGUCAAUGCCUAGACUGAUACCCAAAGGGAUGAUGUACAGCGAAGGUGCAAAGAAGCCCAGGGUGGCGAAGAGGCCGAACAGCGCGUAACAGAUGAAGCUCUUCUCUUUCAAGACGGAGAAGUCCAGCAGCGGAGCUUUCUUCUGGCUGUGCUUGGGGCCCGCCACCAGCGUCUGCUGUUGCUCGGCCCGGGCUUCCUGUUCCGUCUUAGCUUCGCUAGGCACAUUUUUCGGUGAGGUAGUUAGUUCUACUCCUGAGUCGAUGGAGUCUAUUGAGGUCCGUGUUUUCUCGUUUUCAAGCAUAUACUGAACUUCUCUGCGGGGCUCCAGAGUGAUUGCUUUCGGCGACCCUGGCCCUUUGAUAAUAAUCGGUCUUAGCAAGGCGCCACAGACCGUGAUGUUUAGCUGCAGAAGACCCACGAAGAGGAGGCUGUAUCUCCAGCCGAUAUGCUCCUUCAGAGCCGUGAUGGCUUAAAGAGACAGAAGCAAAGAAAAAAAAUAAAAAUCCAAGGUCAAAAAAACAGACUCCAGAUACAGCAGGCAAUAGCCAGGAGAAAUGUGGAUUGAAAUUUCAGUAAUAAAUUCUGCUCAAAGUUAGGGCGAACGCAGACAUGCUAGACUAUAUGGGGAGGGGGUAAAUAAAUGUGUUCUUGCAUGCAGAGGUCAGAGGUCAA